This 200-nucleotide ribosomal RNA is filed under the name uncultured eukaryote. RNAcentral's name for it is "partial 18S ribosomal RNA". It matches the Rfam family "Eukaryotic small subunit ribosomal RNA", at positions 588 to 793 of the family's 1831-position model. The record is from RNAcentral.
GCUCCAAUAGCGUAUACUAAAGUUGUUGCAGUUAAAAAGCUCGUAGUUGAAUUUCUGGUCGUGGCAACCGGUCCGCCUCACGGGGUGUGCACCAGGUUUCUGCGGCCAUCCUCGGGGAGAGCACAUCGGGCAUUCAGUUGUCUGGUGUGGGAUCCUCGUCAUUUACUGUGAGCAAAUAGAGUGUUCAAAGCAGGCUUAGG